RNAcentral lists this non-coding RNA (182 nucleotides) under Planctomycetota bacterium. RNAcentral describes it as "6S RNA". It matches the Rfam family "6S / SsrS RNA". Rfam says of the family: E. coli 6S RNA was the first non coding RNA to be sequenced, but its function was unknown until recently. It consists of 184 nucleotides that fold into an extended hairpin structure with a large single-stranded internal bulge. Lineage: Bacteria; Pseudomonadati; Planctomycetota. The record is from RNAcentral.
GAGUGUCUGCCAUGUUCGGCAGGGAGUUUGUUUGUUUGAACCGAUGAAGAAACCCUGGGAGGCCAGAACACAGCACCGGCGGACGCACCCGCCUUCGUAGCGGGCGGUCCUGGGUGCUGAUGGCCACCCACCUGAGUUAAGGGUUCUUCAAGCUCCUCCCACCGGCAUUGCGGCGGGCAUUC